This 801-nucleotide ribosomal RNA is filed under the name uncultured bacterium. RNAcentral's name for it is "bacterial SSU rRNA". It matches the Rfam family "Bacterial small subunit ribosomal RNA", at positions 99 to 936 of the family's 1533-position model. The record is from RNAcentral.
CGGACGGGUUAGUAACGCGUGGGAACGUGCCCUUCACUACGGAAUAGUCCUGGGAAACUGGGUUUAAUGCCGUAUACGCCCUUCGGGGGAAAGAAUUUCGGUGAAGGAUCGGCCCGCGUUAGAUUAGGUAGUUGGUGGGGUAAUGGCCUACCAAGCCUACGAUCUAUAGCUGGUUUUAGAGGAUGAUCAGCAACACUGGGACUGAGACACGGCCCAGACUCCUACGGGAGGCAGCAGUGGGGAAUCUUGGACAAUGGGCGCAAGCCUGAUCCAGCCAUGCCGCGUGAGUGAUGAAGGCCUUAGGGUCGUAAAGCUCUUUCGCCAGGGAUGAUAAUGACAGUACCUGGUAAAGAAACCCCGGCUAACUCCGUGCCAGCAGCCGCGGUAAUACGGAGGGGGUUAGCGUUGUUCGGAAUUACUGGGCGUAAAGCGCGCGUAGGCGGACCAGAAAGUUGGGGGUGAAAUCCCGGGGCUCAACCCCGGAACGGCCUCCAAAACUCCUGGUCUUGAGUUCGAGAGAGGUGAGUGGAAUUCCGAGUGUAGAGGUGAAAUUCGUAGAUAUUCGGAGGAACACCAGUGGCGAAGGCGGCUCACUGGCUCGAUACUGACGCUGAGGUGCGAAAGUGUGGGGAGCAAACAGGAUUAGAUACCCUGGUAGUCCACACCGUAAACGAUGUCUACUAGCUGUUCGCGGCCUUGUGUUGUGAGUAGCGCAGCUAACGCAUUAAGUAGACCGCCUGGGGAGUACGGUCGCAAGAUUAAAACUCAAAUGAAUUGACGGGGGCCCGCACAAGCGGUGGA